GUGUCAGCCGCCGCGGUAAUACAGAGGGUGCAAGCGUUGUUCGGAAUUAUUGGGCGUAAAGGGAGUGUAGGCGGUUUUUUAAGUCUUCUGUGAAAUCUUCGGGCUUAGCCUGACAAAGUGCAGGGGAAACUGAAAAGCUUGAGUGUCGGAGAGGAAAGCGGAAUUCCCGGUGUAGAGGUGAAAUUCGUAGAGAUCGGGAGGAACACCAGUGGCGAAGGCGGCUUUCUGGCUGACAACUGACGCUGAGACUCGAAAGCAUGGGGAGCAAACAGGAUUAGAUACCCUUGUAGUCC
Molecule: ribosomal RNA, 293 nt
Filed under: uncultured bacterium
Lineage: Bacteria
Description: partial 16S ribosomal RNA
Rfam family: Bacterial small subunit ribosomal RNA
Source: RNAcentral